UGGGGGAUCGUCUAGCUGGUAGGACACUGGGUUCUGGUCCCAGGAGCGGGGGUUCGAGUCCUCCUCCCCCAGUCA
This 75-nucleotide transfer RNA is filed under the name Actinomycetota bacterium. RNAcentral's name for it is "Actinobacteria bacterium (freshwater metagenome) tRNA-Gln". It matches the Rfam family "tRNA". Rfam says of the family: Transfer RNA (tRNA) molecules are approximately 80 nucleotides in length. Their secondary structure includes four short double-helical elements and three loops (D, anti-codon, and T loops). Lineage: Bacteria; Bacillati; Actinomycetota. The record is from RNAcentral.